UACGGAAGGCAGCAGUGGGGAAUAUUGCACAAUGGGCGCAAGCCUGAUGCAGCCAUGCCGCGUGUAUGAAGAAGGCCUUCGGGUUGUAAAGUACUUUCAGUCGUGAGGAAGGUGUUAAGGUUAAUAACCUUAGCAAUUGACGUUAGCGACAGAAGAAGCACCGGCUAACUCCGUGCCAGCAGCCGCGGUAAUACGGAGGGUGCGAGCGUUAAUCGGAAUUACUGGGCGUAAAGGGCACGCAGGCGGUUAAUUAAGUUGGAUGUGAAAUCCCCGGGCUUAACCUGGGAAUGGCAUUCAAGACUGGUUAGCUAGAGUCUUGUAGAGGGGGUAGAAUUCCAUGUGUAGCGGUGAAAUGCGUAGAGAUGUGGAGGAAUACCGGUGGCGAAGGCGGCCCCUGGGACAAAGACUGACGCUCAUGUGCGAAAGCGUGGGGAGCAAAAC
Molecule: ribosomal RNA, 441 nt
Filed under: uncultured bacterium
Lineage: Bacteria
Description: bacterial SSU rRNA
Rfam family: Bacterial small subunit ribosomal RNA
Source: RNAcentral